ACGCAGAAGAAAACGUGCGUCAACAAUUACGUGCAGAAGGAGUGAUGUAAUGUCUAAAGGUAAAAAACGUUCUGGCGCUCGCCCUGGUCGUCCGCAGCCGUUGCGAGGUACUAAAGGCAAGCGUAAAGGCGCUCGUCUUUGGUAUGUAGGUGGUCAACAAUUUUAAUUGCAGGGGCUUCGGCCCCUUACUUGAGGAUAAAUUAUGUCUAAU
Molecule: ribosomal RNA, 211 nt
Filed under: uncultured prokaryote
Description: partial 16S ribosomal RNA
Source: RNAcentral